This 67-nucleotide transfer RNA is filed under the name Cryptocephalus tibialis. Its description in RNAcentral is "tRNA-Pro". It matches the Rfam family "tRNA". From Rfam's summary of the family: Transfer RNA (tRNA) molecules are approximately 80 nucleotides in length. Their secondary structure includes four short double-helical elements and three loops (D, anti-codon, and T loops). The record is from RNAcentral. Lineage: Eukaryota; Metazoa; Arthropoda; Insecta; Coleoptera; Chrysomelidae.
CAGGGGAUAGUUUAUUGAAAAUAUUAAUUUUGGAGAUUAAUGAAAAGGGUUUUAUUCUUUCCCCUGA